RNAcentral lists this ribosomal RNA (860 nucleotides) under uncultured bacterium. RNAcentral describes it as "bacterial SSU rRNA". It matches the Rfam family "Bacterial small subunit ribosomal RNA", at positions 50 to 900 of the family's 1533-position model. The record is from RNAcentral.
AACACAUGCAAGUCGAGGGGAAACGAUAGAGAAAGCUUGCUUUUUCUAGGCGUCGACCGGCGCACGGGUGAGUAACGCGUAUCCAACCUGCCCAUCACUUGGGGAUAACCUUGCGAAAGUAAGACUAAUACCCAAUGAUAUCUCUAGAAGACAUCUGAAAGAGAUUAAAGAUUUAUCGGUGAUGGAUGGGGAUGCGUCUGAUUAGCUUGUUGGCGGGGUAACGGCCCACCAAGGCGACGAUCAGUAGGGGUUCUGAGAGGAAGGUCCCCCACAUUGGAACUGAGACACGGUCCAAACUCCUACGGGAGGCAGCAGUGAGGAAUAUUGGUCAAUGGGCGAGAGCCUGAACCAGCCAAGUAGCGUGCAGGAAGACGGCCCUAUGGGUUGUAAACUGCUUUUAUAAGAGAAUAAAGUGAGUCUCGUGAGACUUUUUGCAUGUACCUUAUGAAUAAGGACCGGCUAAUUCCGUGCCAGCAGCCGCGGUAAUACGGAAGGUCCGGGCGUUACCCGGAUUUAUUGGGUUUAAAGGGAGCGUAGGCCGGAGAUUAAGCGUGUUGUGAAAUGUAGACGCUCAACGUCUGCACUGCAGCGCGAACUGGUUUCCUUGAGUACGCACAAAGUGGGCGGAAUUCGUGGUGUAGCGGUGAAAUGCUUAGAUAUCACGAAGAACUCCGAUUGCGAAGGCAGCUCACUGGAGCGCAACUGACGCUGAAGCUCGAAAGUGCGGGUAUCGAACAGGAUUAGAUACCCUGGUAGUCCGCACGGUAAACGAUGGAUGCCCGCUGUUGGUCUGAAUAGGUCAGCGGCCAAGCGAAAGCAUUAAGCAUCCCACCUGGGGAGUACGCCGGCAACGGUGCAAC